RNAcentral lists this signal recognition particle RNA (267 nucleotides) under Polycladospora coralii. RNAcentral describes it as "Bacterial large signal recognition particle RNA". It matches the Rfam family "Bacterial large signal recognition particle RNA". From Rfam's summary of the family: The signal recognition particle (SRP) is a universally conserved ribonucleoprotein involved in the co-translational targeting of proteins to membranes. Archaeal SRP consists of a 7S RNA and homologues of the eukaryotic SRP19 and SRP54 proteins. Lineage: Bacteria; Bacillati; Bacillota; Bacilli; Caryophanales; Thermoactinomycetaceae. The record is from Rfam by way of RNAcentral.
GCGUGCUAGAUGGGGAGCUGGCGGUGCCCUGUAACCCGUAAUCCGCCUUAACGGGAUUGAAUUCCUGCCUGAGGCAUCGAUUGUGCGAGGUCUGGUCUAUUCGAUCUGUGUUGAAGAUUGGGUCCUACGCAACGAGAGCUUUUGAACCGUGUCAGGUCCUGACGGAAGCAGCACUAAGGAAGAAUCCUCGUGUGCCGUAGGAGUGCCUGGUCUGAGCAGAUAGGAUAGUGCCCGCUCGGGCUUCCGGUGUCGAAGGCUGGUGCACGC